RNAcentral lists this ribosomal RNA (468 nucleotides) under uncultured bacterium. Its description in RNAcentral is "partial 16S ribosomal RNA". It matches the Rfam family "Bacterial small subunit ribosomal RNA", at positions 28 to 507 of the family's 1533-position model. The record is from RNAcentral.
GACGAACGCUGGCGGCGUGCUUAACACAUGCAAGUCGAACGGAAAGGCCCUGCUUUUGUGGGGUGCUCGAGUGGCGAACGGGUGAGUAACACGUGAGUAACCUGCCCUUGACUUUGGGAUAACUUCAGGAAACUGGGGCUAAUACCGGAUAGGAGCUCCUGCUGCAUGGUGGGGGUUGGAAAGUUUCGGCGGUUGGGGAUGGACUCGCGGCUUAUCAGCUUGUUGGUGGGGUAGUGGCUUACCAAGGCUUUGACGGGUAGCCGGCCUGAGAGGGUGACCGGCCAAAAUUGGGCUGGGGUUCCGGCCCGGCUUCCUCCGGGAGGAAGCAGUGGGGAAUUUGGCACAAGGGGCGGAGGCCUGAGGCAGAACCGCGGCGUGGGGGAUGCGGGCCUUCGGGUGGUAACCCGCUUUCGCUUGUGCCGAGGCGUGAGGGCGGUUAAUGGUAAAGAAGCACCGGCUAACUACGUG